This 775-nucleotide ribosomal RNA is filed under the name uncultured Neocallimastigales. RNAcentral describes it as "partial large subunit ribosomal RNA". It matches the Rfam family "Eukaryotic large subunit ribosomal RNA", at positions 26 to 627 of the family's 3401-position model. The record is from RNAcentral. Lineage: Eukaryota; Fungi; Neocallimastigomycota; Neocallimastigomycetes; Neocallimastigales.
CGUCUAUAUACGUAUAGCAUAUCAAUAAGCGGAGGAAAAGAAACUAACUAGGAUUCCCUCAGUAACGGCGAGUGAAGCGGGAAGAGCUCAAAUUUGAAAUCUUCAAGGUUCUACCUUGACGAAUUGUAGUUUAAAGAAGUGUUUUCUGUUGGAGUUUUGGUAAAAGUUCUUUGGAAUAGGACAUCAUAGAGGGUGAGAAUCCCGUAUUUGACCAUUUCUUCCAGCUGUGUGAUACACUUUCAAAGAGUCGGAUUGUUUGGGAAUGCAGUCCAAAAUGGGUGGUAAAUUUCAUCUAAAGCUAAAUAUUGGCGAGAGACCGAUAGCGAACAAGUACCGUGAGGGAAAGAUGAAAAGAACUUUGAAAAGAGAGUUAAACAGUACGUGAAAUUGUCAAAAGGGAAGCGUUUGACACCAGUGUUGUUUUCUCGAAAAUCAAUUAAAAAUGGCAGGAUUUUGUGUUGUAUUGACUUUAUCAGCUUUCUGCACUUUUUUCCUAUCUUUUUUAAUGCACUUUUCGUUUAACAAGUCAACAUCAAUUUCUUUUGUUGUAAAAGAGUCAUUGGAAGGUGGCUUUCUUUUCGGAGAAAGUGUUUAUAGCCUUUGGACUUCUGCAGUCGGAGAGAUUGAGGUCUGCAGCGUAGAUCCUUCGGGGUUAGAUGCAUUUGUGCUAAGUUAUAGCCUUUCAUAGACAACUUGUUGACUAUGAUCAGUCAUGUAGCUUACUCGCUUAUGUCAUUUUACCUACGCUUAGGAUGUUGACGAUCAGCUGAGCGCG